AUGACCACAAAGAAGGUUGCUCAUUACUUCUCUGACCAUUCCAUUACAGUCGUCAGCGACGCUCCAUUGUCAGAGAUUCUGCACAACAGAAAUGCAACUGGUCGAGUGGCAAAAUGGACGAUUGAACUCCUUCCCCUAGAUAUCAAGUUUGAGGCAAAGAAAGCCAUCAAGUCCCAAGCAAUAGCAGAUUUCAUCGCCGAGUGGAUUGAACAGCAACUGCCGACUCAAGUUCACUCGGAGCACUGGACCAUGUUCUUUGAUGGUUCUAAGAUGCUGAAUGGUUCCGAUGUUGGGGUAGUGUUGGUUUCCCCCGGAGGAGAUAAACUCAGAUAUGUGCUCCAGAUUCACUUUGAUUCAUCCAAUAACGAAGCAGAAUACGAAGCACUUCUCUAUGGGUUGCGUAUGGCCAUUUCACUCGGCGUCCGUCGCCUCAUGGUCUAUGGCGACUAA
Molecule: ribosomal RNA, 450 nt
Filed under: Triticum aestivum (bread wheat)
Lineage: Eukaryota; Viridiplantae; Streptophyta; Magnoliopsida; Poales; Poaceae
Description: partial small subunit ribosomal RNA
Source: RNAcentral